AGAGUUUGAUCAUGGCUCAGAACGAACGCUGGCGGCGUGGAUAAGACAUGCAAGUCGAACGCUGAUUUCAGGGUAGCAAUAUUCUGAAGUUGGAGUGGCGCAAGGGUGCGUAACACGUGGGUAAUUUGCCGUGAAGCCCGGAAUAACUCGCUGAAAGGCGAGCUAAUACCGGAUGUGAUUUUUGGAGGGCAUCCUCUGGAACUCAAAGCUGGGGACCGCAAGGCCUGGCACUUCUCGAUAAGCCCGCGGCCUAUCAGCUAGUUGGUGAGGUAAUGGCUCACCAAGGCUAAGACGGGUAGCUGGUCUGAGAGGACGACCAGCCACACUGGAACUGAGACACGGUCCAGACACCUACGGGUGGCAGCAGUCGAGAAUUUUUCACAAUGGGCGAAAGCCUGAUGGAGCGACGCCGCGUGGGGGAUGAAUGGCUUCGGCCCGUAAACCCCUGUCAUUUGCGAGCAAACCUUAUCAUUUAAAAGAUGAUGAGCUGAUUGUAGUGAAAGAGGAAGGGACGGCUAACUCUGUGCCAGCAGCCGCGGUAAUACAGAGGUCCCAAGCGUUGUUCGGAUUCACUGGGCGUAAAGGGUGCGUAGGUGGCCGGGUAAGUCUGACGUGAAAUCUCCGAGCCUAACUCGGAAACUGCAUCGGAUACUAUCCGGCUUGAGGGUUGGAGGGGGGACUGGAAUACUUGGUGUAGCAGUGAAAUGCGUAGAUAUCAAGUGGAACACCAGUGGCGAAGGCGAGUCCCUGGACAACUCCUGACACUGAGGCACGAAAGCUAGGGGAGCAAACAGGAUUAGAUACCCUAGUAGUCC
This 815-nucleotide ribosomal RNA is filed under the name uncultured bacterium. RNAcentral describes it as "bacterial SSU rRNA". It matches the Rfam family "Bacterial small subunit ribosomal RNA", at positions 8 to 796 of the family's 1533-position model. The record is from RNAcentral.